AGUUUCAGGACACUAUUCUCUCCUGAAAUACUGGAUUAAACAUUGGAAUAGCAGUUGUUCCAGUAUUUGAGGGGCUGCCACAAAGAUGAGGGGGGUCAACUUAUUUCCAAAGCACCAGAAGGAAUGAUUGAUUGAAAGAAAGAGUAGAAGAAGAGGACAACCAGCCACAAGGUGUACAGGCUCAAUUAAGCAGCAAUGGUACACUCCUGGAAUAUCUGAAGGACAAAGAUGGAUCAGAGUCUCCUGAAGAAAAUAAAUUUGUGGGCAGAGAAUUGGGACGAAUAAACAAAGAAGGCCUGAAUGAAUUGCAAUAUGAAAUGGGAAGCACUUAGAGGUGAAGCCGUGAAGAAGAAGUGAAAUGGACAGGAAAAGAAAUGAUUCGCAGCAGUGUUACAGAUAUGCCUAACAUUGUUGUGGUCCGCCAGCAGCAUGCGGAGCUGGCAGCGGAGUCGGACAGCGAUGAGGCUGAGGAAGAACAUGGGCCAGUCCUGGAGGCUGGGGAAGGCCCGGAUGAGGGCUCUGCGUCGGAGGCAGAGAUGGGGCAGGGCCAUUGGGGAGUGAUGCGUGGACUUCAGAGCCUCCAGAGGCUGACAGUAGAGAGGCAGAGGAACAGGAGGAGCCUGUUCCUAGUGCACACAUGAGAAGAGCUGCCAGAAGACAGGAGCAGAUAAAGCAGAGAGGAUGACUCGGGAGUAGGGCCAAGAGAUGAUUGGCCCCUCCCAUAAGGCUUAAAAGGCCAGCAACGGCUCUUGGCCUCUUUGCCGGAAAACAACCAUUGAGAGAUUUGCUUCUUGUUUGGCUGUAGUAAUUUCUUCUGUUCCUGAACUGUUGCCAAGAAAAGCCUUUGGCAGUUUGCCUAAUUAUCCCAAAGUCAGAGAUAAACUAAAGACUGGUGUUUUAAGGAUGUUGCUUUCAUUUCAUUUAGAAUGCACUGAGAAUGAGUUAAUUCUCAGCUGUUUUAAUAAAAUCUGUUUGUUUCU
Molecule: long non-coding RNA, 980 nt
Organism: Pantherophis guttatus
Lineage: Eukaryota; Metazoa; Chordata; Lepidosauria; Squamata; Colubridae
Source: RefSeq, a predicted model, not a curated record